This 7284-nucleotide long non-coding RNA is filed under the name Panax ginseng (ginseng). RNAcentral's name for it is "long non-coding RNA (PGIN_LNC005688)". Lineage: Eukaryota; Viridiplantae; Streptophyta; Magnoliopsida; Apiales; Araliaceae. The record is from RNAcentral.
UCUCUUCUUUUCCCUCUUCCGCGGCUUACGCCUCCACUGCCUCCACUGGUGACUGGACCACUGCUCCUGCCGGCUGCCUCUGCCGCCCGCCUCCGCCACUGCUCACUCUCUUACAGGUUCUGUGAUAUACUGAUAUUCAUUGUUAUUGUUAUUUUCCCCCUUUUUAUUUAUUUUUUUAUUCAGUGGUCGAGUACUCGAGUGUGGUAACAUACUAACAUGGGCUAUUUAUUUUUCCUGACUUCCGUUUCUAUAUAUAAUAACUCCCAGUUUGGGAUUAUAUCCGGGAAAAAAAAUAGACUCUCAAUUUGGGAUUCUAUAUUAAUCUUUUAGUAAUUUAGUUUUCAAAAUUGUUUGUGUUGGAGUAAUAUUUAAUUAUUAUUUAAUUUCCGUUUUCUUAAAUCCUAAGAGAAUUGAUGAAUGAUAAAAUUAUUGUGAUUUAUGAAAUGUUUAAAUUGAUGAAUUAUUGAUUAGUAAUUGAUGUUUUUAUUUAUACUAGAUUAUGGAUAAAUACUUGAUUAAGCGAGAAAGAACUGUUAAUUCUUCUAAUAAUCAAUUACCAAGUUCCGAAGCAAGUGGUGAUAUUAAUAAUUCACGUGUGGAGUUCAAUCCAAAUGAUAUUGUUAGUGAUCUGGGGUUACGUAAAUCAAUUGAAGACUUUGCUAUUGUGAUUAGAGAUCAAGUUCGAAGAGAGUAUUUGACUAGAGGUCCAUGUCAACCAAUUGCCCAUAAUUAUCCCCCAAAAUACUUUUCUAAUGUGAAGAGAAGCUUUCGGCCCGCUUGGUUUAAAAAUUUUGAAUGGUUGGAGUAUAGCAUUUUCAAAGGAUGCUUGCUAUUGCUUUUGCUGCUAUCUAUUUGGCAAUUCAAACAGAGUAGAUGCUUUUACAUAAAAAAGGUUCAGCAAUUGGAAAAAGGCAAUUGAAAAAUUUCAAGAACAUGUGGGUGCUUCGAAUAGUGCUCAGAAUGAUGCUAGAAUACAACUUCAAGAUUUUAAAAAUCAAAAGCAGAGUGUGUCACAUAUACUACUAGCACAAGGGCAAGAGAUGAAGGUUGCUUAUCGCACCCGUUUAACGGUGACUUUGGAUGUCAUACGCCUUCUUUUGAAGCAAGGUUUGCCUUUUCGUGGACAUGAUGAGUCAUCGACUUCAUCAAAUAAGGGAAAUUUUCUUGAGUUUUUUGAGUGGUACAACCUACAAAAUGAAGAGGUAGGCAAGGUAUUUAAUUGGAAUGCUCCUAGAAACAAUCAAAUGACUUCUCCAAAAAUUCAAAAAGAACUAACAAGUGCUUGUGCCGUGGAAACUACACUUGCCAUCAUCAAUGAUAUUGAGGACAACAUAUUUUCUAUUAUGAUUGAUGAGUCUCGAGAUGUUUCAAUAAAGGAGCAAAUGGGAGUUGUUUUGAGAUAUGUAAACAACCGUGGAGAUGUGAUUGAAAGGUUUGGUGUGGUACAUGUGCCUGACACUUCAUCUAUUUCUUUGAAGAAUGCUAUUGAUGAAUUGUAUGCAAAGCAUAAAUUGUCAUUAUCGAGGUUGAGAGGUCAAAGAUAUGAUGGGGCUUCAAAUAUGCGAGGCGAGUUCAAUGAAUUGAAGGCUCUUAUUUUAAAAGAAAAUCCAUAUGCAAGGUACGUCCAUUGUUUUUCUCACCAACUCCAAUUAGUUGUUGUUGCUGUUUCCAAGAGUAGCCGUAUUGUGAGUGAUUUUUUUCAAUAUGUUACUAUGAUUGUGAAUGUGGCUGGAGCAUCAUGUAAAAUGAAAGAUAAACUUAGACAGCUUGAACAUGAUAGGAUCGUGGAGUGUUUAGAAAAGGGAGAAAUAGUUAGUGGUAAAGGAAAAAAAAUCAAGAAAUCAGUUUAAGACGGCCAGGAGAUACUCGUUGGGGGUCACAUUACAUAAAAAUAAUCCGUCUUAUGUCUAUGUGGACUUCCGUAUUACAAGUGUUUGAAAAUGUGCAUGAUGAUGGUGCUUCUGAUGAUAAUAACGACAUAGCCAUAAGUUUGAUUGAUAAGAUGGAGAAUUAUAAAUUUGUAUUUGUGAUGCAUUUGAUGAAAUAUAUAUUGAGAAUCAUAAAUGAUUUGUCACUAGCCUUGCAACAAAAAGAUCAAAACAUUGUACAUGCUGUGAGAUUGGUUGGGGUAAUGAAAGCUUGACUACAAGAUUUUAGGGAGGUGGAAUGGGAGAAUUUUUUGUAGGAAGUAAAUAUAUUUUGUGAGAAGAACGCGAUCCCAAUAAUUAAUAUGGAAGACAACAUGAGAUCCCGCGGUCGUAGCAGGCGCAAUGGACAAAUUAUUACUAAUUUUCAUCAUUAUCGUGUUGAGAUUUUUUGUCAGAUAUAAUCUCUAUAAAUAUUUUUUCAUUAUUCCUAUCUAAAUAUUUAUCUUUUUUUAUUUUUCAUUAUUGCAAUGUAGGUUGUUGAUUCAAUUAUUCAAGAGAUGAACAAUCGUUUUUCAAGCAAGCACAAAGUUACUUUUAUGCAUAUCAUGCCUUGAUCCAAGGGAUUCGUUCUCUCAAUCCAGAAGACUUCUCAUUGACUGAUCGCAUGAUACUUAGGGAUCAACUUGAAAAUUACAUUUAUUGUGACGCCCCCAAAAUAGGUCCAUUCCAUCCAACCCAUUCUGAGUCGCCAAAUACAUGGUACAGAAAUAACUACAACUUUAUUUUUACAACAUAUAAACUGUGAGUUUAAAUACAGAUAUUGCCAUCUAGACAAUAUCCACACGCAAAUAAAUCCCCAUCAUAAUUAUUGAUACAUUAUUUUACAAAAAUGGUGAGGACUACUAAACAACUCUCUCUAGAACCUUCAUUCCAUACCCCGACUCGUACUCGCUAUAUUCUCGCCUCCUGAGAAGAAAAAUGGAACAAAAAGGAAAAGGGUGAGCUCAACUAGCCCAGUAAAGAAUAUUAUGACUAAGAUAAUAUACAACAAAUUAUCGUUAGUCUUCAACAGGGAAAAAUCUAAUAGAAUACAAUAGACAACAAGUUUUAAAUCAAUAUUCGCAGCGGAAAUAAUAAUUCAUUAGAAGAGUUAAGUAGAGAAUGCAAACUACUAUCUUCUAUGUAUGAAUUUAAAAGUUCAUCGUCUAUCUUUUAUCCCUGUAACAUCAAUCAAUAUAUAUCUGGAAUCAAAUAUUCAUCUUUGCACUACAGGCCAAAGAUAUUCAUCAGUUGGUCAUGUUCAUCUAAACACCUGUUCAUCUUUGCACUACGGGCCAAAGAUAUUCAUCAGAAAUCAUUCAUCUUUGCACUACAGGCCAAAGAUAUUCAAUAAUAUCAUCAUUUAAGACUGAGGAUGAUAAAAAAUUUUUUUUAAAGAAACGAAUCCAGUGAAACAAAAUGACAAGGAUUAAGGAUUAAGGAUUCGUACUUUGUUUUAUCCACGUCCAAAAAUACCUCAAAAAUAAUCAUAGUGGUGUAAAAUUCAAGAAUGAUCAAAACAUGGAUACAAUCAAAGCUAGUAUCCACAAUAGAUAUUUUGGACGAAAAGAAAAAUUUUCAUUUUUCGAUGAAUAGUGCCGUAUUCGUGAAUAGUACCGUAUACGUGAAUAGUGCCGUAUACGUGAAUAGUAACUCCGACACCAAAAGUUCCAAAUUUGAUAAAAACUUCAGAUCAAUAUUUCAGCAUAAUGAUAUUGAAGAAAUAAUAUCAUUACGAAAAAAAAUAAUAUCCCUUACCUCGGAAAGACAGUACUUCUAACUGGAAUACUGGAUAUAGGCUAUAACUUGAACUUUCACCGUAUAGCAAUACUCAAAGUAUACUCAAAAUACUCACAAGAAUACGCUCGAUAAUAUAGAGAGAGAAAACUUCAGUUUCUGGUGUGAUUUUCAAUUCUAACCUAAGCACCUAUUUAUAGGAAAUUGCUUAGAACACCAAAGCAGAAAAUUUAAUAUAAUAUUAAUAUAUAUAAAAAUAUUAUACGUAUUCCUUGAAAUCUUAAUCUCAGCAAUUCACACAUGCCAACCUUCUAGAAAAAAAUAAAAAAAACGUUUUUCUAAUUUAAAAUAAUUUAAACUUCCAAAAAUCAAUUAUUUCGGAGCUUCGGAACUUCAAUAAUUCAUAAUAAAUAGCCCUUUUAUCAGAAAAUUCGAAUCUCGCGAGUUUUUAUAGGAAAUUCAAUUCUCUACAACUUUGCAGAAGAAAGUUUUUCCAAAUUCCAAACAGAAAUUGACCGAAAUCCACAAACGGGCGAUUUUAGAGGCUAUAAUCAAAUUUCAGUCAAUAAAUGGGGUCCACCGACAUGUUUAACAUGUUUUAAACAUUUAUUGCAACAAAAAUACUCUUCCUCCUCGUAUACUCAUAUAUCCCACAUUCGUUGUAAAAAUAUCACCAUUAUUAUAUUAUUAAAAUAUAAUAAUAUAUAUAUUUAAAUGAAUUAUUUUAUCAGAAAAAGAUAAAAUUUCAAUUUUCAACAAUUGUCACAUUAAAAAUUUUCUCCAUCUAUAUCCACAUAAAAUCAAUAUUUUCCUCAUCAUAUGAAUCAAUAAUUAAUUAUUCACAAAUAAUAUUACAGAAUCACAAUAUUGACAACCAGGCAGUUCCCAGGAAAGAGGGGGCUUUCCAAUAAGAAUUUCUCCUUACUGGCGCGCAAUUAGGUGACCAAACCUCUCCUUAGACAGAACUUUCUAGACAUUGCCAAUAAUGUUAUCUAAUAAUAUUAUUCAGAUAAUAUGAAUUAUUGCUUCGAUAAUGAAAAAUACUGUGUAAUGACAAUUAUUGAAACAACAGCAAUAUAAAAUAUCAACGCAGCAAUUAUUGAAUCAAUAAAAUAAAAUACUGAACAGUAAUUACUGUAACCAUUAUUGAGUAGUGCCUUCUUACGUAAGAAUCAAUAAUUGGUGCAAUACCGUGUGCUACUGUGCAAUAACGCGUAUUACUGUGUUUUAACCACCGGGUAUUCCAACAGUGUAAACGGUAACAACUACGCCGUUAUUUUUAAACAACUUAUUUUUGUCGUUUUCUUCCUCCAAUCGCUUUCCGUUAUGGGGCCCACACAUGGCUGCGCCGUCGUACGAAUAUUCCCCGACAGUACGAAUAUUCCACGACCAAACGAAUAUUCUCCGACAAUAAUGAAUAUUAUAUCACCACUUGCUUAUUUAAAAUAUUUGCGCAUUUUACCCAUAACUAACCACAUUAAUCAAAUCCACCCUUACUAUUUCAAAAUGAUAACUAAUGGAAAUUCCUUUUUAUUUAAAAAAAUUUCGGGGUCUUACAUUUAUGAUAUGCGAUGCGAUAGUCAAUUUUUUGGGAUCGAAAAUUUGGGUUUAGAAAGUCUUGCUAAGAAGCUGAUUGAAACAAGAAGACAUAUGACUUUUAUAUUGGUAUAUCGAUUGAUCGAGUUGGCUUUGGUUUUACUAGUUGCAACUGCUACUGUUGAAAGAGUAUUCUCUGCAAUGAAAAUUAUCAAGAUUGACUUCCGUAACAAAAUGGGAGACGAGUGGAUGAAUGACAGUCUGGUAGUUUAUAUUGAGAAGGAUAUUUUUUCAACAAUUGAAAACGAACAAAUUUUGAGACGUUUUCAAACUAUGCAGACUCGCAGGAUACAGUUGUCUGCUCUCACUUGUACAAUCGAAAGAAGCUUUUCAAGCGUCAAUAAAUAAAUUUUUUUAUUAAUGUAUUUUGACCCUCCUUAAAAUAAGUUCUGGUUCCGCCACCGAGUAUGAGCCAAAUGCCCAGUACAGAUAAAGAUAUACAAAAAAUACAUAACUUACAAAUAAAACUAACUGAACAGAAUAUGAAAGAUAACCUCAAAUAUAAGUAUUAACGAUAACAAAUUCUUCGAAGUCUGAACAAGAUAUAACUGAAUCUAACAGUAACGAACCAAAACAGAAGACUGAAUUUAAAAUGACAAGUGGUUAUUUCAUGCCAAAUUCAGGACAAAAUAGAAAUUAAUUCAUGUGGGCCGCCUUUCAAGUCUUGUAAUAAUCUAAUGUAGCAAUUAAGAAGCAACUUGCCAAGGAACCAUCAACCUAAAGUCACCUCAUAAUCUGGUUAUGUUCCUCAGCAGCCACGUACGGAAUCAUUUAUUCUAAUUCACGCGGCAAGUAUUACAUAUCCAAUCACGUGGGGCUUUCUAAACUCACACAAUUCAGCUACUAGUACUUGCCAAGGAAUGCUAUUCAACACGGGCCUAACAUAUUCAGCAAUUAAAGUUAUGCAGCAGCAAUUAAAGUUAUGCAGCGGCAAUUGGUUUCAUAUUUAAUUUCACGCGGCAAUUAAAGUUAUGCAGCGGCAAUGUGGCACUGUUAAUUUGAACACCGACUUUGUUUUCAGGCCAUUGCAAUUGAAGAAGAUUUCUUGAAUGAAGGUUCUAAGCUUGUAUUUUGCCCAGCUAUUUUAUUAUAUGUUUGGGCUAAAUAGUUUGUGCAUUGGCUUCCUAAUUGUAUUUUCAAGAGAUUUUAAUCUUCGCAUACCCUUUUAUUCUCUUUUUGUUAUGGAUUGUAAAAAGUUAAGUUGAGACAAACCUUUCUUUACAGUAAACAAAUUACAAAAGUAGUAAAGGACGGAAAAAAUAAAUCAGUUGGGUCAAGAAAAACUGAAAAAAAAAAGAUUUUGGGAAGAGUAGAAAAAUGAUUUGUCCACAAGUUAAGGUCACCUAUUUUGCCACUAGCCUAAAAGUAAUAGUCACAUACUUAGAGUGUAAUGCACAGAUCGGUAAACGCACAACAAUCUAACAUCUUUUUAUUAUAUUUUAAUUUAUUAAUUGAACGUACAUAUUUAUUAUUAAAAAAUUAAAUAAUCCCGCAGUAACGCGCGGGUUUGUAUCUAGUAGGUUUCUAUUUCCUUAUAGAAUUCGGGUUAUUUUCUCUGGUAUAAAUAAGAAUUUCAACAAAUGUAAUUCAUAUAAAUAUAAUUUUUUUUUGUGGAACAUCAUCCAUUCUUAGGUUUCUUAGAUAUUCAAUUUUGACUUAUUAUAUAACAAUAAGUACAACCAUUAUCUUCAUGCAAAUAAAAAUUCAUCUAACUUAUAUGUAUUUGUUUACUUUGUUGUCGUUGUAUUUUUAAGCAGCAAGGUGUCACGGCCUUAGAGAUUCCUAAUCCCAACCGUGCGGCCUUAGACAACUAUCAUCCUUUUUAGUUGCUAAGUAAGCCUUACGCCAAGUAAACACCAAGAGAACUUGAAAGGAAGAAUGAAAAUAAGAAAGCUUUAUUAAACAAAAGAGCUUUACAAGUACGCUAGGAGAAUGCUUUUUCCUUUGAUGCCUUGGAUGGCUUGGAUGGAUGGACAAAUGAGACCACCCUCCUAUUUAUAGGCCUUCAUCUCCUAAGGGAAGGUUCUAGAAAUUAAUAUUAUAA